Molecule: ribosomal RNA, 23 nt
Filed under: Trichoderma citrinum
Lineage: Eukaryota; Fungi; Ascomycota; Sordariomycetes; Hypocreales; Hypocreaceae
Description: partial 28S ribosomal RNA
Source: RNAcentral
AAUACCCGCUGACUUAAGCAUUC